AGUGAACGCUGGCGGUAGGCCUAACACAUGCAAGUCGAACGGCAGCACAGUAAGAGCUUGCUCUUACGGGUGGCGAGUGGCGGACGGGUGAGGAAUACAUCGGAAUCUACUUUUUCGUGGGGGAUAACGUAGGGAAACUUACGCUAAUACCGCAUACGACCUACGGGUGAAAGCAGGGGAUCUUCGGACCUUGCGCGAUUGAAUGAGCCGAUGUCAGAUUAGCUAGUUGGCGGGGUAAAGGCCCACCAAGGCGACGAUCCGUAGCUGGUCUGAGAGGAUGAUUAGCCACACUGGAACUGAGACACGGUCCAGACUCCUACGGGAGGAAGCGGUGGGGAAUAUUGGACGAUGGGGGCAAGCCUGAUCCAGCCAUACCGCGUGGAUGAAGAAGGCCUUCGGGUUGUAAAGCCCUUUUGUUGGGAAAGAAAAGCAGCAGGUUAAUACCCCGCUGUUCUGACGGUACCCAAAGAAUAAGCACCGGCUAACUUCGUG
RNAcentral lists this ribosomal RNA (492 nucleotides) under uncultured bacterium. RNAcentral describes it as "partial 16S ribosomal RNA". It matches the Rfam family "Bacterial small subunit ribosomal RNA", at positions 29 to 507 of the family's 1533-position model. The record is from RNAcentral.